AACGAACGCUGGCGGCAUGCCUAACACAUGCAAGUCGAACGAGAUCUUCGGGUCUAGAGGCGCACGGGUGCGUAACGCGUGGGAAUCUGCCCUUUGGUUCGGAAUAACAGUUGGAAACGACUGCUAAUACCGGAUGAUGACGAAAGUCCAAAGAUUUAUCGCCAGAGGAUGAGCCCGCGUAGGAUUAGCUAGUUGGUGUGGUAAAGGCGCACCAAGGCGACGAUCCUUAGCUGGUCUGAGAGGAUGAUCAGCCACACUGGGACUGAGACACGGCCCAGGCUCCUACGGGAGGCAGCAGUGGGGAAUAUUGGACAAUGGGCGAAAGCCUGAUCCAGCAAUGCCGCGUGAGUGAUGAAGGCCUUAGGGUUGUAAAGCUCUUUUACCCGGGAUGAUAAUGACAGUACCGGGAGAAUAAGCUCCGGCUAACUCCGUGCCAGCAGCCGCAGUAA
This 449-nucleotide ribosomal RNA is filed under the name uncultured bacterium. RNAcentral describes it as "partial 16S ribosomal RNA". It matches the Rfam family "Bacterial small subunit ribosomal RNA", at positions 29 to 523 of the family's 1533-position model. The record is from RNAcentral.